Molecule: ribosomal RNA, 373 nt
Filed under: uncultured bacterium
Lineage: Bacteria
Description: bacterial SSU rRNA
Rfam family: Bacterial small subunit ribosomal RNA
Source: RNAcentral
ACGUAGGAUGCAAGCGUUGUCCGGAUUCAUUGGGCGUAAAGAGUUCGUAGGCGGUUUGUUAAGUCUGAUGUUAAAGAUCGGGGCCUAACCCUGGGAGUGCAUUGGAUACUGGCAGACUGGAGUGCAGUAGAGGCGAGUGGAAUUCCCAGUGUAGCGGUGAAAUGCGUAGAUAUUGGGAAGAACACCGGUGGCGCAGGCGACUCGCUGGGCUGUAACUGACGCUGAGGAACGAAAGCUAGGGGAGCAAAUGGGAUUAGAUACCCCAGUAGUCCUAGCUGUAAACGAUGGAUACUAGGCGUUGCAGGUAUCGACCCCUGCAGUGCCGCAGUUAACGCGAUAAGUAUCCCGCCUGAGUAGUACGGCCGCAAGGUUG